GUGCUCACUUCUGUAGCACAUACACUAAAACUGGAAUGAUACGGAGAUUACUAUGGCCCCUGUGAAGCCAGACACACAGGUUCAGGAAGUGUUCCACGUCUAU
Small nuclear RNA from Cavia porcellus (domestic guinea pig), 103 nucleotides. The record is from Ensembl. NCBI's taxonomy places the organism in Eukaryota, Metazoa, Chordata, Mammalia, Rodentia, Caviidae.